This 64-nucleotide transfer RNA is filed under the name Staphylinidae sp. BMNH 1274248. RNAcentral describes it as "tRNA-Ile". Lineage: Eukaryota; Metazoa; Arthropoda; Insecta; Coleoptera; Staphylinidae. The record is from RNAcentral.
AGCAGAAUGCCUGAAUAAAGGGUUAUUUUGAUAGAAUAAAUUAUGUAAUUAAUUACUUCUGCUA